This 503-nucleotide ribosomal RNA is filed under the name uncultured bacterium. RNAcentral's name for it is "partial 16S ribosomal RNA". It matches the Rfam family "Bacterial small subunit ribosomal RNA", at positions 30 to 523 of the family's 1533-position model. The record is from RNAcentral.
AUUGAACGCUGGCGGCAGGCUUAACACAUGCAAGUCGAGCGGGGUGAUGGUGCUUGCACUAUCACUUAGCGGCGGACGGGUGAGUAAUGCUUAGGAAUCUGCCUAUUAGUGGGGGACAACAUCUCGAAAGGGAUGCUAAUACCGCAUACGUCCUACGGGAGAAAGCAGGGGAUCACUUGUGACCUUGCGCUAAUAGAUGAGCCUAAGUCGGAUUAGCUAGUUGGUGGGGUAAAGGCCUACCAAGGGGACGAUCUGUAGCGGGUCUGAGAGGAUGAUCCGCCACGCUGGGACUGGGACACGGCCCAGACUCCUACGGGAGGGAGCAGUGGGGAAUAUUGGACAAUGGGGGGAACCCUGAUCCAGCCAUGCCGCGUGUGUGAAGAAGGCCUUAUGGUUGUAAAGCACUUUAAGCGAGGAGGAGGCUCUUUUGGUUAAUACCCAAGAUGAGUGGACGUUACUCGCAGAAUAAGCACCGGCUAACUCUGUGCCAGCAGCCGCCGUAA